Molecule: unclassified non-coding RNA, 334 nt
Filed under: soil metagenome
Description: partial contains 5.8S ribosomal RNA, internal transcribed spacer 2, and large subunit ribosomal RNA
Rfam family: 5.8S ribosomal RNA (bases 1-120)
Source: RNAcentral
GAUGAAGAACGUAGCGAAAUGCGAUAAUUAAUGUGAAUUGCAGAAUUCAGUGAAUCAUCGAAUCUUUGAACGCACAUUGCGCCCCCCAGUAUUCUGGCGGGCAUGCCUGUUCGAGCGUCAUUUCAACCAUCAAGCCCUGCUUGUGUUGGGGUCCUGCGGCUGCCCGCAGGCCCUGAAAACCAGUGGCGGGCUCGCUAGUCACACCGAGCGCAGUAGCACAUCUCGCUCAGGGCGUGCGGCGGGCUCCAGCCGUUAAAGCACCCACCUUUCGCAAGGUUGACCUCGGAUCAGGUAGGAAUACCCGCUGAACUUAAGCAUAUCAAUAAGCGGAGGA